UACGGAGGAUGCGAGCGUUAUCCGGAUUUAUUGGGUUUAAAGGGUGCGUAGGCGGCUUUUUAAGUCAGCGGUGAAAUUUUGCAGCUCAACUGUAAAAGUGCCUUCGAAACUGGUUUCCUUGAGUGUAGAUGAAGUAGGCGGAAUUUGUGGUGUAGCGGUGAAAUGCGUAGAUAUCGGGAGGAACAUCGGUGGCGAAGGCGGGUAACUGGACUGCAACUGACGCUGAGGCGCGAAAGCGUGGGGAGCAAACAGGAUUAGAUACCCUGGUAGUCCCUGA
RNAcentral lists this ribosomal RNA (277 nucleotides) under uncultured prokaryote. RNAcentral's name for it is "partial 16S ribosomal RNA". It matches the Rfam family "Bacterial small subunit ribosomal RNA", at positions 524 to 800 of the family's 1533-position model. The record is from RNAcentral.